This 235-nucleotide unclassified non-coding RNA is filed under the name Tetracladium marchalianum. Its description in RNAcentral is "partial internal transcribed spacer region". The stretch from base 1 to 46 matches the Rfam family "Eukaryotic small subunit ribosomal RNA", at positions 1786 to 1831 of the family's 1831-position model. The record is from RNAcentral. RNAcentral also lists the same sequence under 1 other name. Lineage: Eukaryota; Fungi; Ascomycota; Leotiomycetes; Helotiales.
AAGUCGUAACAAGGUUUCCGUAGGUGAACCUGCGGAAGGAUCAUUACCGAGUUCAUGCCCUUCGGGGUAGAUCUCCCACCCUUUGUAUACCUUACCUCUGUUGCUUUGGCGGGCCGCCUAGCUACUGGCUUCGGCUGGUAAGUGCCCGCCAGAGGACCCAAAACCCUGAAUAUUAGUGUCGUCUGAGUAAAAAGUUUAAUAUUUAAAACUUUCAACAACGGAUCUCUUGGCUCUG